This is a long non-coding RNA of Marmota monax (woodchuck), 17339 nucleotides long. RefSeq lists it as uncharacterized. The transcript is spliced from 4 exons. Lineage: Eukaryota; Metazoa; Chordata; Mammalia; Rodentia; Sciuridae. The record is from RefSeq and is a predicted model, not a curated record.
GCAGCAUGAGGGCACCCAGCAAGUGGGUAGGACGACCAGGCUGCCCUUGGUGACACCAUGAGUCCUCCCUUCCUGGGCUCAGGCCUCUAAAGGGAGGUCUCACUGGGAGCUCCUGACCUGGAAUGCCUCCACAGAAAGGCCUGUGACCUCUUGGCCUUUAUUUCCUGGCCUUCUGAAAGGUCAGACUUGGAAGCUUACUAGGGGGCUGAGCAGUGUAGUCUGUUAGGGUCACUUUUGUCAGAGAGUGAUCAGCCAUGUUCCCCACAUUUCCACUCUAGGAUGAGAAGACCAAAUCAUGGGGACCCCCAGCAGGAGACAGCUAGAACUCUCUAUCUGCCCACCCUGGGUAACCACCCACCGCAGCAAUGCUUGUGGGGGGACAAGGCAGAGAUAUUUUACACCAUGACCUGGAUUGAUCUCCUUGUUCACGCACUUCAGGUGGCUCAUGGGGGAUACACCAUGGGCCUUCCUUUUACCAUCUGGUCAGCCAGCCACAGAAGCAAUAGCAACCAUUUAUUGAGCACUUACCGUGUGCCAAGCAAGAUGCUCAGCUCUGCAUUUAUUAUCACAACAGCCCUGGAAGUUACUAUUUUAAUUCCCAUUUUAGAGUUGAGAAAACGAAAUCUUGGAGACAUUACUAAACUUGUCCAAGUUCAUACAUCUAAUUGUGGUGGAGCUAGGAUGCAAAUCCAGGCUACAAAACUUGGGUUCUUAACCACUGCACUAGACCUGCUUCUUCCAACCAUUCACCCAGUUAUCCGGUUACCCAUCUGCAGAAGAUAGGAUCCACGCUUAAAUUAGGAUAGUUAAAAAUGAGCUUUAUAUGGGAUCAUUUAAAACAAGAUGAGGAGGCAGGUGGUGUGCAAGGAAACCACACAGGAUCCUUCCAGUGCCCUAGAAUCAGAAACAGCAGAACCAGUGUCUCCCAGAACCUGAAGGGCUGAAGUGGAGGAAGGAGGCAGAGAGGGCUGCCCAGCAGGAGCCGAGCCUAUCAUCAAGGGAAGUGGCCAGGCUGAGGCACCACAGAGAGAGAGCACACCCAGGAAUAAGUACCAUGGCUUUCCUCUUCCCUCCUCCCUCCCUGGCUGCCUCUCUCCUAACUCCUGCUUGGCUCCCCUUUGGGUUCACCCAACCAGAAGCCAAAGGGCACUGGAGCCUGUCAGUGCUGCCCCUUCUGGUCAACUUCUGGACACAGGGUAGGGUUGAGGGGAAGGAGAGCAGGUCUGAAGGGCACAGAGGAGGUGUCCUAUGCACCAUCCGUCUACCCGUUGGCAUAGUUGCUGUGUCAAGCUCUGCUAUUGGUAUGGGGAUAUUAUUUCAGGCAAGACACACGUGGUUUGUUCAUUCAUUUGUUCAUUCAUUCACCAAAUACUCUUGAAGCCCCCUCUAUGAGAAGCUCUGCACUGGGUGAUGGGGACUGGGAGGAAUACAACUUACCAUACUUUUGAAUUUUAUAUGAAUUAUUGGCUAUUCUGAGAUGUGCCCUGGAGAGCUGCUUUCUUGCUUAGAAAGUGUGUGUAUGGUGGGGGGGUGGGGGUGUCAGAUGAGACAGAAAUCUUCCAACCAGCAGAAAAUCUAUUUGCUGAAUUUCCUGAUCUGACCAAUUAGUCUUAAGAUUAUAUUUGGCUUUUAGGGGAUGGAAGCUGUAGUCCUGGGGAUGCACGACUACAGUGACUUGGUCUCAUUAACAUCCUGAUGAGGAAACAAGGCCCCAUGGAGCAAGUCACAGUCCUGCAUUCCAAGAGCUGCUAAGAUACAAGAGGGGGUGGCUGGUGAGAGCCCAUUUAUCAAAGGUCUGGCCCUUGCAGGAGCUAUGCCUCCCUCUGGGCCCUGCCUCCCCAACUGCAUGGAGGUGCCGGAACUGACCCCUGCUCUGAGGUUCAGUGAGUCUUGGAGGAGGCUUCAGCUGGGUCUCCUGUCCUUUACCCUGUGCCAUCCCCAGAGCCGGAGCCAUGCCCUGCAUGAACGCCUCUGUGCUUCUGAUUUCCUUGAGACCUUCAGGCCGCUUCCUCGCUUCCCUGCACUCAAUUACAACCCACUCCCCUUGGCCCUGAUUUAAUUACUGCAGCGGGUGCCCAUCUGAGCUCAUUACCACCUGGCUGCUCAGACUGCUGUGAGGUUAAUGGUGCUGCCAGCGCUGAUCUGAGGGGUCCAUGCAGGGUGGGGGCAGCUGAGAGCCUACCUGGAUAUGUGAGGGGUCUGCCUCUACAAUCCCCCCAUCCCCAGGACACCAGGAGCCCUUGAUGCUCACACAGUGAUGUGCUCUCAGCCCUCGGGCCUGGCAGGGAUGGGUUCGAUCUGCCUCCUCCGUCUCCAGCCAUUUUUGUUGGCUUAGUCGGUCGGUAGACUUUCAAAGUAAUUUCUUGCAAGGCUUUUUCUAUCUGUAUAUUUGUAUUUCAGUUUUUGUGAUCUGCGUGGGCCUCUAAAGUUCAAAGCCCAGGCCCCUCCUGCCUAGAUCUAAGAGUGGGUCUGAGCAGAUGGAAAUAUGGGCCUUCAACAGAUGCCAUCAAGGAGAUGCUGGUGACUGAGCUGCCAGUGGGAAUGGGGGCAGCAGGGGCUGCCGUUAUGGGUCAUGUGCCCUGCACCUCUGUACCUCUGUCUGCCUCCAGAACUUAGACGCCCUCCAGGUAAAAGGGCUGGGAAAGCCCCUAAAUUGUCUGCAAAAGCCCUGAGCUGACCAGAGUCUAUCCAGCAGCAGCAGAAGGAAGCUAAGCAUUAAGGUCACAAUUCUGUGCCCAAAGCGUGGCUUUGUGAUAUCAUCCAGCCCUCUCUCCACCCAGGCUGGGUGGCCAUCUCGGUGGUUAGCUCCUGCCAUUCUGCUGCAAUGGAAGCAAAGCCCCCUCCUGCUGGAAGUGUCACUUCAUUUUGGGAAUGGGGCUGAGAACAGAGGAUAGAGUGGGUGGCCAACAUGAGGACUCCAAAACUCUAAGCAAUGGUUAGACGAUCACAGGCUUUGGAGCUGGUCUCUGCAGCCUCCAGGCUGAGGUUAUCUCAGACUUCUUUGAGUCUCAGUUUUCCUAUCUGUAAAAUGGGGAUCACGACACACCCUACUUUCGUUAUCAAGUUGCCGUGAGAAUGAAAUGAGCUGUGGCAUGGGAAGCAUUGGCACAGGGCCUGGCUCUCUACUCAUCGCAGCUACCUUCUUCUUGGGGUGAGGGCUCCUUGGUAUAAGGUUACCAUGCCCCAGGAGAGUGAAGGUCAGACUGUCCCUGAAGAGGAGAGGACUUAGAUGCUGGGUUUCUGUUCUCGCGAGGUAAACUGGGCUAACUGGGCUGCGCAAAAUAACCACACAACAGACACAAGUACCUUUUUCUUUGGGGUCGCUGUGACGGCUCCUCUGACCUUAAGGGUCCGCAGGAAGAGAGAGCAGAGCACAUGCUGACCCCUUUUAUUGAGGAGAAGCUAUUCAAAUGAGGCAAGGGGUCAGGUUUCAGGGGGUUGAGUCUAUCUUCAUGAUAUUCACUGUCAGCUGGUUGACUGACACCAGGAUAGGCCACACCCAAGGGCACAGUAAGAGGAGGGGACACACACAAGGCGCUUCCAUGCCCUAAACAGGGCAAGGGGUUAUAUUACAAAGGAACGGGUGAGUGUAGCCCCACCCAUGGGGCUGUAGCAAGACACACCAACCCUCGAACCCAAGAAAGGUGGGGAAAGCUCUGCCACAUUUCUGAGACUGAGCGCCUCAGCACCCAGCCGGGGAGUGUGACUCAGUCACGUGCAAGGUUGGUCUCCCACACUUGGACACUGACCAAAGCUGUUUUGCAUUAGAAACUAUGCAUGGGGAGUUCUUUGUUCUCAUUCUUGUCCACGAAGCAAUUCCCAUUUCCAUGCCCUCUGAUACCUUUUAAAUCCAGAUCGACCAUGGACGAGGUGAGAGAGUGGCUGGCCCUUUAACCUUGAAUCCACCUUUGGUUGAAUCUGCAGAUGCAGAAUCCGUGGCUAUGAGGGGAGUGUGACAGUGUACAUAUGGCAGCAUUUCAGGCGUAGUGGCUCCUUAGAGAGCACUUUUCUUAUGAGGAUCGCUACUCAGAUGUCUACAUGUGCCUUGUCGGUCACCUAGAAUUCAGAUGGGCAGUGGGCACCCAAUCAGGAAGAGUGCCCUGUAAGGAAUUAAAUUAUAUUUUCUUUAAUGAGAGAAAAAAUGGGCAGAAAAUGAUCUUGGAGUCCCUGAGUGUGACCUUCCUUACAAUGUUGCUUAAGAAAGGUCCCCACCGCAUAGGAGAGCAAUGGUCCCUGAGGAAGGGGACAGUGGGCCAGGGUUCUCUAGAAGGCAGGCAAGCCCUGGAAGCUAGCUGCCUCCUGGGUUGCCUGGGAACGAAGCUAAGAAAGGGGACAGCUAACUGCUCCUGCACCGGGGCUCGGGCUGCUGGGGUGCGAGGGGCUGAAAGGGAGAAGCCCGAUGUGGAGGCUUCCUGUUCUUCUCAACUCCUGAGAAACACAACCGCCCUUUGAAAGGCCUGGGAGAAAGCAUGGCGAAAAGCCAUCCCCGGGUGGGGACAGCCGUGUGGUCAGAGAAAAGGGGUAUUAAUUAGAGUGUAAUUAGAGUGUUUUGAGGGUUGAAAAGAAGAGCUGCCUGAUCCCUGAGCUAAUCAAGAGGAGAAAAAGGGACAGGAAUCUUAUCGGCGAGAUGAUGACAGUGCCAAUCUUACCCCAUAGGAUGACCCAACCCAUGGCUACAGGCCAAGCAGGCUGAGCUGCAUCCUUAUCUGAGUUCAGCUUGCAGUUGGUGGGACAACUCCUAGGGGACCAUGGUGGCCUGGCAGAGGGCCCUGCCCUGUGUCAGUUUGUGGGAUCAAGUUUCCAUUCAGGGCUAUCGUGCAACAUGGAAGGGUGGUGGUGGCAGGGGCUGCUGGGACAUGGGCUGGCUUACGGCUAGGGAAGGUAGACUAAACCCUGCCUCUACUUUGUGAGGGACAAUUCAGGGGGUCUCUUUCAAAAAUUGCAGAAAAAAUCUGAGCAAAUUUUAACUUAGAAGAAACAUCUCCUAAAGGAGAUGUUUGCUGUAUUUGACCACAUGCCAAUUAGGAACUUUUUUUGAAUAAGAGACAGAGGAAGGUUAAGACUCAAAUGACAAAUAAAGAGAAAUAUUUGCUACAUAUAUAAGAGGGGAUCAAUGUCUAGAAAAUAGAAAGAACUUUAAAAAUUAAAAAUUAAAAAAAGAUAAACCAAUAAAAACUGGGCUAAGGGUUUGAUUAGGAAAUUCACAAUAGAAAUAAAAAGGAUUUAAGGUUGCAAAGAUGACCUCCUUGCUGGUCAUCAGGGAAAUAAAAGUCUAAAAAAUGAAUUGAGGCUGGGUACUCAAAAAAAAGUUUGUUCAACUCAUAGUUCUGGAGGUUUAAGGGUAUGGUGCCAGCAUGAGCUCCGCUACCUCAUGGUCAACUGCACAACAAGGGAGUUUGUGCAGGAGGAAGUAAUCACAGUGCCAGACAGGAAGUCAAAGAAAGGGGAGGGGCCCGGGCUUGCUCCUUUUUUAAUCAACUCUCUCACAACCCUCUCAUGAGAACUAACUCAGGAAUCCCAGAAGAACUAUUAUAAUUCCUUCCAAAUGCAGAACUCAAAGAUCUAAAGACCUCCCACCAGGCCCCACCUCUUAAAGGUCCACACCAUCUCCUAAUAUCAUCACACUAGGGACCAAGCCCCCUGGGGGAUAAACCACAUCCAAACCAUUGUAAUAUUCAAGUUGAUAAGAGUUGAUGGCCUGGUGAGUUGCUGUAGCCCCCUGACAGAUCCUAUCAGAAUUUAAAAUACACUUUGUAUAUAACCCAGCAAUUGACCUCAUGGUAUCCACCCCAAAGAAACACCUUCAAAUGAGCAUGAAGAGUAAAGCACAAAGAUGUUUAUGGCAGCAUUGUUUAUAAUACUGAAACAUGGGGGGAGAUCUAUAAGAAUGGGGAUGGUUAAAAACCCUGGUAUGUCAUUCAUGUUAUGGAAUCCUUUGCAGCACAGAGCCACGCAGCCCUAUAAACUUGCACUUAUACUGUGGCCUGAGAGAGGGAGGCAAGAGCAUUUGCUUAGCUGGGAUGUCUUGUGUUCCAAGUGACCUACAGGCUGAAUUGAGAGGCUGUGGGGAGGCCCCUGGGCAGUGGUUAGAUGAAGAAGAGGGUAGAGACUGUGGUUCUGCAGGUUCCCAGAGCCCAGGUGUAAUCUGGUCAGGUGGAAUCACCACUGGAGGCAAGGCCUGGGAUAAAAGAAGACCCCAGUUUGCUAGCUGGAGACCCCAUCUGAGGAGCCCAGCAAUCAGGCAGGUAGAGGAUUAACCUAGAGAGUCAGGUGGCGUCCUGAUUCUGCCUCUUCAGGGCAAUCAUCUUCCUGCCUGGUUGCUCACAUUAAUCCCCCCACCCCCCGCCAAUACCCCCAUUCACACUCCUGACAUUUUCCAACACCUCCACAUGGUAUGUGAAAGAUACCUGAGGGAGGAAGCAUUUUCAUACAAGGCAGACUGAAUAUCACCUGGAUUGUUUAAAUGAUCAGAUCAGACUGAACUUCAAGCCAAAUAGGAUGACAUUAUGUACUUUUUUUCCUGUUGACCAAGGGAGGGAGGAGUUUAGGAGGAAAGUCAGAUUUAUAACAAACAAAGUUUAUUAUAGCCUCCUUGUGCACUGGAGAGCACAGGGAGCUGAGUUUUGUGGCCCCAAUGCGAAGCACUUGGUUUUUCAGUUUCCUCUGCCUGGAAUGAUAUCUCCUCCCCUCUCUUCCUGGUUGGUUUCAGCUCAUCUUUCAAUUUGGCCCUGGUAUCCCCUUCAGGCCCUGUCGUGUUUCUUUUCAAUCAUGGGUGUGUGCCAUAUGUGGCUAGAAGAUGACUGGGCUAUAAACAUUUGUUUCGUGUCAUGGUGGGACACAGGCAGAAAAGAAGGCACUUAUUUGGUUCGAGGCAUGAGAGGAAGCAACCCAUUUGGAAGAUUUAAGAACUGACAAGAUUUUAGCCCAGAAGAAGAAUAUCCUGAUGAAGAGAAGAGACAGAAUUAGAGGGAAGAAAGCUGAAGUAGGAUACAUACAAUUUGUCCUGAACAAAUACUCCAAUGUUUCCUACAAACAAGGGCAUUUUCUUAUGUAACCACAACGGGACCAUCAACCUCAGGAAAUGGACAUGGAUACAGGACUGCCAUCUACUCCUUGGGACCCAUGCAGGUAUCUAAAAUUGUCCCACUCGUGUCCUUUAGAGCCAAAGGAUCUGGUUCCAAGUCUCACAUUACCAAGUCUCAGUCUCUUUCAGAGUAAGGCGGAGCCAGGGCUUUCCUGAUCUUGAAGAUUACAGGCCAGUUCUCUGCAGCACACCCUGCAAUUUUGGUUUGAGUGAUGUCUCCUCAUCACUAGAUUCAGGUCUUGAGUCUUCAGCAGGAACGUCCCAGGGGCUGCUGUAUUAUGGUUUCAUCUUGUCCCAUCACCGGUAAUGUAUGCUGUGAUCCCUUGGAGAGAGUUUGCCAGGCUUCUCCACAGGAAAAUCACUGCAGAAAUCCCUUUUCCAUUUAUACUAAAUAAUUAUAUUGUGGGAGGAAUUCUGAGACUAUAUAAAUAUCCUGCUCACCAUCAAAUUCUCCCUUCCUUCCUUUCCUCCCUAACAGUUUGGACUCGUGGUUUCUUAUUUUAUUUAAGGAGUUAUAAUCUGUUACUAUCAUUACUUAUUUUGGUGCAGAGAGUAAUGCAGAUUUGCCCAUGGAUGCUCCUGCAAAGUACCUGCUGGGUCUUUCUGACCUGUCCCCAUCAUUCUUUAGGCACUUAUUUACUUUCAGUUACUACAGGCUGUUCCAGAUUCAUCUUGUGUUUUCCCUGGAGUGGCCUGGAAUCAGGCAGCACUGGCUCCUUUUAGAAGCCAAGAUUUAAGUGCUCAUUGCUUUGGGGUGUUGCUCCCAGGCACUCUCAGCAGAGAGGGCUGCAGAGUGUAUCUCUCUGAGUUCACAUCACCACCUCUGAUUCCAAACCAACAUCACGGGUUAGUUCUGUUUCUCUCUCUGGCCAUAUUUGUAAUUCUCCUUGCUAACAGUGGAAACAUGGCUCCCGUUACUUUAAUAUACUUAUUUGAUUAUUUACAACUACUCUCUCAUCACAACCACAGCUCCGUGUGUGUAGACACCCUCCUCACCCUGCAUGGGCUCUGGCAGCCCAUGCUGGACCCCACCUUCCUCGUGGCCCAGGGGAAGUAGUAGAUAAAGGCUGAUGUUGAUUGAACUGCCCCACUCAAUGCUCAGAAAUUCAAGGGUUAACCUAUAAAAAUGCCUUUUAAUUUUGAAUUGUUACCGGAAAGGAAAACAUUUGCUUGCAUAACUGGGAAAAGCUCUUAAGAAAUAUUGUCAAGUAAAUGAAAAUGCAAUUGAAAAUCCUUAUUGAACAGGUACAUACAGCAGCACACACCUGCGAUCCUAGUGAUUCAGGAGGCUAAGGCAGGAGGAUUGCAAGUUCAAGGCCAGCCUGGGUGACUUAGCAAGACUAUGUUUUAAAAUAAAAUAAAAAGAGCUGGGUUGUUCCUCGGUGGUAGAAUGCACCUGGGUUCAAUUCCCAAUACUGGAAAACAAAACAAAACACACAAGAAAUCCUUAUUGAGAGGCUGGAGUUGUAGCUCAGUGGUAGAGCACUUGCCUAGUACGUGUGAGGCACUGGGUUUGAUCCUCAGCACCACAAAUAAAUAAAUAAAUAAAUGUAUUUAAAAGUAAAAAAGAAAAAGAAGAAACCCUCAUUGAAAUCUUGGAACCUUGUGAACAACACAGCCUGAGACUCCUGGUUUGAGGCCCUUUUCCUGAACCCUGUGGUCUGCUUCUAUACCUUUGUAAGUCAUGCUUACAAAGGGUGGUUGGAUGUGCCUGCUAACUGCAUUAUUGUCACACACACACUCACUGUCACAAUACCAUUGUCCUGCUGCAUGGUCUCAGGUUGAGAAAUUCGGUGGCUUCUCGUGUCUGUGGUUCAUGGAUGUUGAUGUCCAUGGCUGACAUUUCCUAGGCUGGCCAGGGUGCCCACCUCCAGGGGCCAUCCAUCUGACAUCCUGUGUCUGAUCUGAGGUCUGAGGAACUGCAUCCUGCUGGACAGGAAGGUGUGGAAGUGGAAAGCUCUGUCAGUCCCACCCCACACCCCAGCCAUGUGCCCCUUCUGUCCUUCUGUGUCUCUGCUGAUAGCCAUCACGCGGAUCAGGUAGGGGGCCCUGGAGACGGUUAGCCACCGGCAGAGCCACCACCUGGGGAGAGGCUGGCUGGAUGUUGACCUCUCUGGGUGUUCAGGUCUCCUGCCACAGCCAGGGGACCUUGUCUCUCCCUCCUGUCUCUCCUCCUGCUUCUCUCCCUUUGGACCUUUCUAUCCAUUAUCAACCUUUCCUCCAGGUGUCUUUUUCCUUUCACUAUCUCUGUCACUUGUUUUCUCAGCCUGAUUCUGCUACUGAUUCAUUGGGCCUUGGUUUUCUCAUCUGGAAAAUGGGGAGAGGGUUGGAUCCUCAGGCCCUCCUGGCUCUUCCCUCUCCAACCGCCUGCCCCUGUAACAUGUCCUCUCAUCUGCUCCUUGUCUAUCUUGCAUUCUUUCCUCUCUGCCUCUGAUUGCUCUUGGAAUCUCUCUCCUUCCCCUUCUUCUAUGACUUUACUUCCCUCCUGCAGCAUCCACUUCCUGUCUUAAUUUUUCCUUCUCUGAAUCUAGUUCUCUUUCUCCCCCUCUCUCCUUCUGUUUCUCUUGCUUGUGACUCUAGAGUCUCUGUCUCGUGUCUCUCUCUGCCUUCCUCCCUUUUUCCCAUCUAUGACAACUUGUUCUGAACUGUUUCCCUGUGUCACUGACCCCCCUCCACUCUGCUGUCUCAGUCUUUCCUAAUACCAAUGUUUCUGGGUUUCCACCCACUUCCCUCUCCCUAUUUAGAGUCCUCCUUCCUGGUCAUGCCCUGGCAGAGGACUGGGAGCUGGGCUCUGGUGCCACGAGAUCCCCACAGAGCCAGCUCCUCCCUGUGAUGGGAACACCAGCUGUGAGGCUGGCCCUUGGAAGCAGGUGGGGCCCAGCUGGCUGCCUCUGCCUCAAAGAAGGCUCGGAAAGUCACAUGUGGCACUCAGAAGGUAGAAAUCCUGCCACAGCCCAAACCCAGAGUAGGCUUCGGCUUCACGACCAAGCCUACACCGUGUGUGUGGGCACAUGUCUCUGCACACACAGCUGGGCACCAGCUCUGGUGGUCAGCUCCCCUCAGGGAUUGCUGCUGGCGUUCAGAUUCACUGAAAGAUGGCUUCCUUUCCUUGGAGCCUACUCCAGCCUUGAUCGCAAGCUCCCAGCCCUGGGCUGGCUCUUGGAAUGUCUCCAUGUGGAGAUGAUCAACACUCACAGGGAGAGAGUUCUGGCCCAUGCACAGGUGAGGAGUUGCUUUAAACCCCAUCAAGCCUGCAGAUUCUGUGCCUUGCACUCUCCCCCCUCACUCCGUCCCAUGCUUUCUAGAAUUCAGACCUAGCAGACAUUCCCUGGCAUCCAUGGGUGCCAGGUGAUCCUGUCACUGUACACAAACCCACAGCCUCCCCAAGAGGUGGGCACAGUUCUCCAUUUCAUAGGUGAUAUUUAGGUUCCUGAGGUCACAGGCCAGACAGAGGCACAGCCCAGCACAAGUCCAAUCUGCCCAUAUUGUUCUCUGCCCACUGUGACAACUCAAGGUUGAAGAAUUGGCAGUGGGGGUGCCAGGGGGCAGGGAGAAGCUGUGUUGGCCUGCAGAAGCAGACCGUUGGCAGCUGGUCCUGGAAAAGGCACAACAGAAAUAAAGUACGUCAGACUGCUGUUCCAGUAGGGACCAGGCGGAGUUCAAGGCCCGGUGUUUUCAGGGUGGGGCAGUGUGGCAGGCCUGACUCUGUAGGGUAAGAGUUGGAGGCACAGGCAAAUCACAGGUAGCACAGCCCGGAGGAAGUGAGAAAGUCCCAAAGCAUGGUCCAAGAGGAAGCUGUGACAGGCCUCGCUUCUUGGAGGUGGCUGGAUGGUGGUUUAAUAGCACAGACAAGGAUUUGCCUCCUCCCUGGCUCACAGCCCAGGGCCUCUGGAGCACUGCAUCAGGAAAGGCUCCUCAGGUCUCCAAACCCUGGUGUCCGCUCUGUGCCAUCACUCUUGCUCCCAGUCCAUGGUAAGUUCUUCAAACACUGUGCCAGGCCUCCCCUCUGGGGUCACUGGGGCCAUGGAGAGUACUGGAUAGCACUUCAGGCUACAAACUGCCCCCUGAGCCUCCAGGACAUUGGCAAGGGCCCAUCUGACAAAUGUGGCUCCUUUCUCAUCACCGCUGCUCAGGGUUUCUGGAUUCCCUCAUCUACUCCUCGCAGUUCGCCAUCGACUCUGCGCAGUUGUUGCUUCCGUCUGGCUCCAGUUCCGAUGUUCAUCCGGGGAUGGAGAUGAAGUCGCAGAGGGGGUUUCAUCCACUUGCACAUGCAUGAGGGUGGAGGGGCUGGAAUUCACCAGACCAGGGAUCCCUUCCAAAGCCUGUGGUUCUCAUCUCCUGAUGUGCCCCAUCCUUUCCCAUCUUCCAAAUCUCUGCCUUCCCUACCAAAUUACAGCAGCACCCUGUCUCACUGGCAUGAAAAAUGGAGCAGGCACAGAGUAGAAGAUCAGAGAAUAUGGAACCCACAGAUGUGCAAAGGUGUGCAUGUGACUAGUGAGCAGGAUGCCCCCGAGGAACUUCAUCAAGAAUGGACGGGAAGAUUCUAUUGAAGCCCAGGACUAGGAGCCUGGAUGUGAGCUGCUGGCAGAAGAGGCAGACCCUCCUGGUGGCAGAGGUGUUGGCUGGCUCAGUGGGGCUGUUGCAAUACAAACGUCUCAGGCUAUAGGCUCAGCAGGAGAGGGUUUAGGCCAGGGCAGGUGUGGUCCUGUUCAACUCUACGCUGGCCUGCAGCACCUGGGCAUGUUCUGGACACUGACUGAUGUGAGAAAAAAAGGCUCACUGCAGGUACCUUCCCAUGUGGGCCUCGGCCAGGCUGCAGACCUGCGCUCAGCAUCAUGGGGACCAGCUCACCCCCGAAGCCUGACUGCUAUUCUGUGUUCUGGGCUGGACACUCCUCUGGCUUGGCACAGCCAGUUGCUUUGUGGCAUCUUAAAGUUUUGUUGUUGUUGUUGUUUAUUUUGUUUUUUGAAGUUGUGUCUAAUUGGGCUUUGCUUUCUGCAGGGUGCCCCCUGCCAAUGAGGGCCCUUCGAGGUCCCUCUGAAGCAAUUGGACCCAAGCCUUGUCCCUGUGAGAAAUCCUGGCAGGGGUCAGGAGUGACAGUUAUGCAUAAAAUCACCACCAAAGGGAAUACGUGGCCUUUUACUGUCCUGUUAAGUGAGCAAAUUCACACCCUGGGGAGGUGCAAGUUAAGUUCACAUAAAAUCUUCAUUUCCCACAUUACCAACUUGCACCUGGAGCUCCUCUGGGGCAGGGUGCAUUUGGUGUCUGCCCAGGUGGCAGGAUGGUCUCCCGUGUCUGCAGCAUCUUCCCCAGCCUAAGAACAGCUCCCCAGACUGUCUUCCAUCCCCAGGAACUAACUACUUUCACUCAAAUAGAAUUUUCUUCAUUCUCACAGAAACUUCAUUUGGAUCCUCAGAGACUGAUGCCUUUUCUUCUUACCUCGUGCUUUCUGGGGGACGUCUGGGGGACGUCUCUGAGCCCCAAAGGCCUCACCUGUAAGUGUCAUGGACCUCCAGCAGACCAAGCACUGUCCUUGUGAGAACACAGAAGAAGGCAUGCUUAUCUCCCUGGGCCCUGGGCAGAGAGUGUGCUCUCUGAGACCCCCGGUACAGGCAGCAGGCGUGGCUGUCUCUGAGCCUGCUUUUGAUGACUUGCUCCUACACUCAGCAGACUCUGACUUGGCCUUCAGUGCCUUGAGACUUUCACCUGCCAGAGCUGUCAAUAAACUACAGGAGAAGCCCAGGUGUUCCCUCUUGUAGGUGGUUCAAUGCCAAGAGGCGCUAGCUGAGGCCAGUUACUUGAAGAUUUGGUGCCCCCUGCUGGAUAAAGACUAAAAUGCUAAGAGGAGACAACACUUUUUCAAAAGGGCAUUUAUUUCAUCCAUCAGCAUCCUUCCAUUAACCUUUCCACCUCCCCAUUAAGCUACCAUCCACACACCCACCCAUCAAUCCAACCAACCAACCAUUUACCCAUCUAGCCAUUCACAAGCCUAUCCAUCCUAUUCAUCCAAACACACACACACAUACACACACACAUACACAUACACACUCACACACACACGUGCCAGUCUCACUCAUGUCCUUUAGGCAUCACCCACUUUCACAGGGUCUCCCAUUGCAACAGUCCCACGCUCCUCUUCUGCACCAGGCCCUGCAUAGGCUUCAGUGAUAGAAAAAGAAGAAGGAAGGCCUUCAUCUGUGUCUCUUUCUUAUUUGCAGAUCACCCUUAUACGCAUCAUAUCUUCUGUCCCUGUAGUGUCCUUAAAGAGCCUAAAGAUCCCAAUUUGACUGAUGAAGAAACUGAAACCUGAGAGACCAAGUGGUAUGGCAGAAAUAGUCUGGGGACAGAGAGAUCAGUUUCAAAUCAAGGCUCUGUUGCUUACUAAUUCUGCCACCCUGGGCAAGUUUCUUAAGUUCUCCAAACCUUGAUUCCUUAUCUGUGAAGUUAGCUACUUUGACAUAUAUUUAUUGUGUAUAACUUAGAUGCCAGACUUGGCUUUGGGGCACAGCAAUGAAUAAGGAGGGAGGGGCCCCUGCUCUUGUGAACCUUACUGGGCUAUUAUGGUAAAAUUUAUACGAGAUGGGAACAUCCUGCAUUGUCAUAGAAACGCCACUUACGUCAUGUCUUUGUUACUACCUCUGUAAAGAACACAAUCAGGUUAAGAGAUGCUUUUGUGGGAAAAGAAAAGUUUAGGUAAUGUUUUUAAAAAGCAGUACAGAUAGAGGUCGGGAGCACAGACUUUGGAACCAGGCUGCCUGGUCUGAAUCCCAGCUCUGCCACCUGAGAAGCCUGUGACCUUCAGCUGGUAAUAACCUCCUUGCACUUUGGUUUUCUCAUCAGCAGAAUGGGGAUAACAAUUCAGCAUGUGCUUUAUCACAUAUCUAGCCAAGCACAUAUCGGGGCCCAGUCAUGAACAAGAUGGGGAAGGCCCUUCCUAUCUCAGGAGGGCAGAGGGGCCACUGUGUGCCAAGCACCCAGUACAGCCUGAGACUCCCAUGACUGUGUGCAGAGGCUCUUGUGGUGAAAUUCACUAGUACUUUCUGUUGUUGCUCCUUGGCUCCCUGGGGCUGAUGAGAGCAGCAACCAGGGUGCAGAAGUCCCAGUCAAUUAACAGGUCAGAAGUGUCAAUAGCCGAGCAGCCCCACGAGAGGGACUGGUAAGUGGCUAAGCAUGGAGGAGUGUGAGCAGGGUGGACAUACAAACAGGCAGUGCUGCCCAGUUGGAGAGUUGGCACAGAGGCCACUUAAAGCUCCUUCCUCAAUCAAGAGGCUCCAUUUUUCUGGGGGCACAGAUGGAGUUGCUGUUAAUACCCAUGGGGAAGCCCCCAAAAUGGAGAGAAAAUAGCCAGGGUGGUACUGCCUCUUGGGGACACUCACCAGAGCGUCUGCCUGACACCUGAGGCCCUCUGCUAUGGCUCAGUUUCUUCCAGGAUCUAGGGAGACUGGUGGACAACCUGGGCACCCUUCCCAGGGACUGCCUCCUAGUCCUAGGCACACCCCCGACGCCAGGUUGAUGUAUAUGACACCGAGACAAACCUUCUCAGCCUCCCCCCAAAUUGCAGAUUCAUGAACAAAGUAAAUGAUCCUUGUGUUAAGCCUUGAAGUUUGGGAUGGAUAACUAGACAGCUAGAGCAUGCCCUGUACUCUGCUUAGCUCUCCAAGAAUUCAAGGAGAUAAUGUGUUUCUAGAAUAUAUGAAUUAUGUCACCUUGUGAAGUUACUUACCUGCCCUCAGUCUCUGUUUCUCAUCUCUAAAAUGGUGACAGGAAUCGUAACAUCUGGAAAAAUGCACACAGAGUCACAGCAGUCUGGGUAAAUACCCCUGAUACCUGCCCCUUGUCUUCAGGGUGAAAUCUAAACUGCCAAGCCUGGUAUUUAAGGCCCGUUUCCAUUUGGUCCCUGAAAAUUCCUCCAGCCUCAUCCCCUGCCACGUCCUCCGACUCAGGAAUCUUGGCAUCGUCCAUGCUCCCAGGCCUCCAGACACCUGCUUCUGCUGAUCCCUGUCACCCAUGCACUGUCUGCUCCUAUCUGCCUGGUGAACUGCUGUGGACGCUCAAGGUAUAGUCAUUGACUGCUCCUCUUGAAGUCUUCCUUGACUCCACCUAGGCUCUGGGUACACCUGGUAGUUUCUUCUCUCAGAGCCUCCAUUGCCUGGGACUUUCUCUGUGGAGACAGACACCAGACAACAGCCCCUCUGGCUUGGGAGCCACAUCUGACAUGGAGAAUGGGACACUCAGGGAGAGCUGAGUAAAGGGCCCAUUUGGUCAGUUGAGGCCUGGUGAGCUCAGGGCCCAAAGGCCUUGGAGACUUGGUGAACAGCAGGGGGAAAUGUUGGGUGGGAGACCCUAUUGAGAGCCACAGCCGAAGGGACCCCAGCAAACUUCCAGCUGCCGGCUGAUGAUUGGCUCACAGCGGCCCCAGCAACAUCUAGCUGAUUGGCUCCCGGAGAGGCUUGUGGGAAGCCGGUGGUGGCAGUUGGGGCUCUGAGGGUUUUUCCUGAGCAGCUGUUUUGUUUGGCGUGUGUGGUUCUAAAAAUAAAGUUAGUUUCUUUUGACAAGUGGCUCCUGAUUGUGCCCAGCCAGACUGCGGCAAGACCCGGCCAGGGUUAUCGUCCCUGGGUGGACCACUGUGGCUCUGGAGGUCUCUGAGUAUCCAAUGGGGGCGAUGCCAAACCACAAAAAUGGACAGACCCAGAAAUGGGAUGCCUUUCAGAUUAGCCCUGGAGAUUUGGGCCCAGAGUCUGAGGCCAGGCCUGCCUGUCAGCUGUGAGUGUCCACACGGACCUUCUAGGCAAGUAGCUGCCAUAUCUAUGCACCUUGGAUGCUCUGGUCUCUUCAUGUUUGCUUUAUGUCACUCCUUUCUUCUUAGAUGUCCUCCUUCCAGCUGCUCCUAGGAAAGACCCCCCCCUUCUUCAAGGCCUGGAUGGACUAAAUGCCACCCCUCCCCUGACUGCCACAGGGAAAGGUCAUGCUGAGGUCUCCCAUCAGCCCAUCCAUAUCCACUCUUCACCUCACCUGCCUUUCCAGGUCCCAGGAGGCUGACCUGUGUGGACAAUAUCCAUGGGGUCUCGAACCCUGAAUUUUUGCUGGGUUUGGUCAAUAAGAAGCUCUAGCAGCUGACCAGAGGGCUGAAGGACGUGGCCUUGGGUUUCUACUUCCCUGAGUUCUCCUAGCAAGGAUGCUGCAGAUUGAUGUGUCCUUUCAUUGAGAGUCCCUGCACCUUUCUUGGCAGCCAACUCUCUUCUUCCUGGAUCCUGGAUGCCCUCCCUUCCACCCACUGGACCUGGGGAGGUUAACAGGGAUGCAACCAUUAGCCUUGGGCCGCUGCGAUACUGGUAUCCUGCUCCAUCACAAGCAUUUAUGCACAAGAUCUCCUUGGAUGAUCCCAAUUUGACUGUGCAUGGAAUUCUGACUAGGAGUGACCCUAGAAGGAAGAUCCUCCAAACAGGAUCGUGGAGUUGGAGUUGGUGCUAUAGCUGUGCAACACAGGGAUAAUCUCUUUACUGGGGGAAGCGGAAAGCUAUCACUGGAAGUUCCUGAUCACCAGCUGUCAUGGAGGGACAUGAGCUGGACAUGAUGGACACUGCAUUCCAACUCAAAUCAAGUCUGAUUCUGCAGUCUGAGUGGUGAAGGGAAGCUUCCCGGUGGGCAGAAUGUCAGGGGAUAAGUACAUGUCCAGAUGGAGAGAUGGCCCAGGGUGCUUCUUUACUGUCACUCCCGAGCAGCUGAUAAUGGGCCAUCUGGAUGGCCAGCAUCCUGAUGUCUUGGGCACCAUCACUGAGAUGUAUGGAUGAGCCUCUCAGAAUAGUCACAGAAUGUGAAAAGCUACUCAUCUCAUAUAAAUGCCUACAGAGGGUAUCUAUGACAGAGGAAGCCCCAGUCACUUAGGUAGACAAGACAACCCAGCUAUCAGCCACUUCCCCAGACACUCCUGUGCGGAAUGGGCUGAAGUAGCCAUGGCAGCUGGGUUGGGGGUUAUGUGUGAACUCAAAACAUGGACACUCACCCAGGCUCAUCUGCCUACUGCCACAGUCUAGUGUUCAACCUGUCAACAGCAGAGGUCGCUGCUGAGCCCCUAAUCUGGCACCCUUUCCCUGGUUGGGCAGCAGUGGUGUGGGGGUCAGUCAGUCAGCUAUCUGGUGACAGGUUGAUUAUAUCAUAUUUCUCCCCUCAUGGAGGAGGCAACACUUAAUUUGUUUUCCUGGACCUUAUAAUGAUCAUUCUGUGAUCGUUAUAGUCCCACAAGAAUGCCUUAUCU